RNAcentral lists this ribosomal RNA (253 nucleotides) under uncultured bacterium. RNAcentral's name for it is "partial 16S ribosomal RNA". It matches the Rfam family "Bacterial small subunit ribosomal RNA", at positions 524 to 776 of the family's 1533-position model. The record is from RNAcentral.
UACGUAGGGUCCGAGCGUUGUCCGGAAUUACUGGGCGUAAAGAGCUCGUAGGUGGUUUGUCGCGUUGUCCGUGAAGACUCACAGCUUAACUGUGGGCGUGCGGGCGAUACGGGCAGACUGGAGUACUGCAGGGGAGACUGGAAUUCCUGGUGUAGCGGUGGAAUGCGCAGAUAUCAGGAGGAACACCGGUGGCGAAGGCGGGUCUCUGGGCAGUAACUGACGCUGAGGAGCGAAAGCGUGGGGAGCGAACAGG